GACGAACGCUGGCGGCGUGCCUAACACAUGCAAGUCGAACGGGGGUUGAGUGCUUCGGUAUUCAACUUAGUGGCGAACGGGUGAGUAACGCGUGAAGAACCUGCCUUUCAGUGGGGGACAACAGUUGGAAACGACUGCUAAUACCGCAUGACACUUUUUGGGGGCAUCCCCGAGAAGUCAAAGCUUUAUGUGCUGAAAGAUGGCUUCGCGUCUGAUUAGCUAGUUGGUGGGGUAACGGCCCACCAAGGCGACGAUCAGUAGCCGGUCUGAGAGGAUGAACGGCCACAUUGGGACUGAGACACGGCCCAGACUCCUACGGGAGGCAGCAGUGGGGGAUAUUGCACAAUGGGGGAAACCCUGAUGCAGCGACGCCGCGUGAGGGAAGACGGUCCUCUGGAUUGUAAACCUCUGUCUUCGGGGACGAAACGAGACGGUACCCGAGGAGGAAGCCACGGCUAACUACGUG
RNAcentral lists this ribosomal RNA (466 nucleotides) under uncultured bacterium. RNAcentral describes it as "bacterial SSU rRNA". It matches the Rfam family "Bacterial small subunit ribosomal RNA", at positions 28 to 507 of the family's 1533-position model. The record is from RNAcentral.